GAUGAAGAACGUAGCGAAAUGCGAUAAGUAAUGUGAAUUGCAGAAUUCAGUGAAUCAUCGAAUCUUUGAACGCACAUUGCGCCCGCCAGUAUUCUGGCGGGCAUGCCUGUCUGAGCGUCAUUUCAACCCUCAUGCCCCUAGGGCGUGGUGUUGGGGAUCGGCCAAAGCCCGCGAGGGACGGCCGGCCCCUAAAUCUAGUGGCGGACCCGUCGUGGCCUCCUCUGCGAAGUAGUGAUAUUCCGCAUCGGAGAGCGAUGAGCCCCUGCCGUUAAACCCCCAACUUUCCAAGGUUGACCUCAGAUCAGGUAGGAAUACCCGCUGAACUUAAGCAUAUCAAUGAGCGGAGGA
RNAcentral lists this unclassified non-coding RNA (348 nucleotides) under soil metagenome. RNAcentral's name for it is "partial contains 5.8S ribosomal RNA, internal transcribed spacer 2, and large subunit ribosomal RNA". The stretch from base 1 to 120 matches the Rfam family "5.8S ribosomal RNA", at positions 35 to 154 of the family's 154-position model. The record is from RNAcentral.